This 379-nucleotide ribosomal RNA is filed under the name uncultured cyanobacterium. RNAcentral's name for it is "bacterial SSU rRNA". It matches the Rfam family "Bacterial small subunit ribosomal RNA", at positions 376 to 770 of the family's 1533-position model. Lineage: Bacteria; Bacillati; Cyanobacteriota. The record is from RNAcentral.
CGAAAGCCUGACGGAGCAACGCCGCGUGAGGGAUGAAGGCCUCUGGGCUGUAAACCUCUUUUCUCAAGGAAGAAGAUCUGACGGUACUUGAGGAAUAAGCCACGGCUAAUUCCGUGCCAGCAGCCGCGGUAAUACGGGAGUGGCAAGCGUUAUCCGGAAUCAUUGGGCGUAAAGCGUCCGCAGGUGGCUUUGUAAGUCUGCUGUUAAAGCGUGGAGCUUAACUCCAUUUCAGCGGUGGAAACUAUAAAGCUUGAGUGUGGUAGGGGCAGAGGGAAUUCCCGGUGUAGCGGUGAAAUGCGUAGAUAUCGGGAAGAACACCAGUGGCGAAGGCGCUCUGCUGGGCCAUAACUGACACUCAUGGACGAAAGCCAGGGGAGCG